RNAcentral lists this ribosomal RNA (1205 nucleotides) under Listeria monocytogenes. RNAcentral's name for it is "partial 23S ribosomal RNA". It matches the Rfam family "Bacterial large subunit ribosomal RNA", at positions 1 to 1199 of the family's 2925-position model. Lineage: Bacteria; Bacillati; Bacillota; Bacilli; Caryophanales; Listeriaceae. The record is from RNAcentral.
UUGGUUAAGUUAGAAAGGGCGCACGGUGGAUGCCUUGGCACUAGGAGCCGAAGAAGGACGGGACUAACACCGAUAUGCUUUGGGGAGCUGUACGUAAGCGUUGAUCCAGAGAUUUCCGAAUGGGGGAACCCACUAUCUUUAGUCGGAUAGUAUCCUUACGUGAAUACAUAGCGUGAGGAAGGCAGACCCAGGGAACUGAAACAUCUAAGUACCUGGAGGAAGAGAAAGAAAAAUCGAUUUCCUGAGUAGCGGCGAGCGAAACGGAAAGAGCCCAAACCAAGAAGCUUGCUUCUUGGGGUUGUAGGACACUCUAUACGGAGUUACAAAAGAAAGUUAUAAAUGAAGCGGUCUGGAAAGGCCCGCCAAAGACGGUAACAGCCCGGUAGUUGAAAUGGCUUUCCCUCCAGAGUGGAUCCUGAGUACGGCGGAACACGUGAAAUUCCGUCGGAAUCCGGGAGGACCAUCUCCCAAGGCUAAAUACUCCCUAGUGACCGAUAGUGAACCAGUACCGUGAGGGAAAGGUGAAAAGCACCCCGGAAGGGGAGUGAAACAGUUCCUGAAACCGUGUGCCUACAAGUAGUUAGAGCCCGUUAAUGGGUGAUAGCGUGCCUUUUGUAGAAUGAACCGGCGAGUUACGAUUUGUUGCAAGGUUAAGCGGAAAAAGCGGAGCCGUAGCGAAAGCGAGUCUGAAUAGGGCGCAUAAGUAACAGGUCGUAGACCCGAAACCAGGUGAUCUACCCAUGUCCAGGAUGAAGGUAAGGUAAUACUUACUGGAGGUCCGAACCCACGCACGUUGAAAAGUGCGGGGAUGAGGUGUGGGUAGCGGAGAAAUUCCAAUCGAACUUGGAGAUAGCUGGUUCUCUCCGAAAUAGCUUUAGGGCUAGCCUCGAGGUAAAGAGUCAUGGAGGUAGAGCACUGUUUGGACUAGGGGCCCUUCUCGGGUUACCGAAUUCAGAUAAACUCCGAAUGCCAUGUACUUAUACUCGGGAGUCAGACUGCGAGUGAUAAGAUCCGUAGUCGAAAGGGAAACAGCCCAGACCACCAGUUAAGGUCCCCAAAUAUAUGUUAAGUGGAAAAGGAUGUGGGGUUGCUUAGACAACCAGGAUGUUGGCUUAGAAGCAGCCACCAUUGAAAGAGUGCGUAAUAGCUCACUGGUCGAGUGACCCCGCGCCGAAAAUGUACCGGGGCUAAACAUAUUACCGAAA